CAUACCAUAAUUUACUUUAAUAAUCUCCUGUUAUUGAGUGUUUAGGUUGUGUCCCAGUUUCCAUCCCUCCUGCUCCCCGUUAAGCCUUGUUGUGAAAACAUUCUGACGAUUGGGGUUUUGGCGGAGAGGGCGGGUGUCAGCUGGUUUGAGCCUGCCCAGGUGAGCUCAGCAGCUCCCACCUCCACCUUGGAGGGGAGGAGACUUUGGAUUUCUCAGAGACAGUUGGACCCUCGCUGGGUGGGCCUGUGCCCGAGGCGCCUUGAGGACAACACAGAGAGCAACCUCCAGGGAAAAUUCCCAGGAGUUAGUUGCCUCGUUCAAAGAUCUGAACAUCUUCUGGCGCUUGACACAUUUUGCUGGAUUGCUCUUCAGAAGGACCACACCUCAUGCGUUGCUACCAGCAAUGGGUGCCAGGUGUUUCCCAGCCUUGCACCAGUGGAUGGUCUCUUGGCUCGUGUUUUACCCCUGCUGAUUUAAAAGGUGAACCGUGGUCCCUUAGAGUUUUUAAGAUGUUUAUUUUGGGUAUAAGGCUAUUUAUUGAAGUUUAAAAAUGGACCUGGCCACAACUAGAAGGACCCACAAUGAAGAAUAUACAACUAUGUACCGGGGGGCUUUGGGGAGAAAAAGGAAAAAAUAAA
Molecule: long non-coding RNA, 638 nt
Filed under: Equus asinus (donkey)
Lineage: Eukaryota; Metazoa; Chordata; Mammalia; Perissodactyla; Equidae
Description: lncRNA (ENSEASG00005030356.1)
Source: RNAcentral